RNAcentral lists this ribosomal RNA (2907 nucleotides) under Escherichia coli. Its description in RNAcentral is "bacterial LSU rRNA". It matches the Rfam family "Bacterial large subunit ribosomal RNA". Lineage: Bacteria; Pseudomonadati; Pseudomonadota; Gammaproteobacteria; Enterobacterales; Enterobacteriaceae. The record is from RNAcentral.
UGAGGUUAAGCGACUAAGCGUACACGGUGGAUGCCCUGGCAGUCAGAGGCGAUGAAGGACGUGCUAAUCUGCGAUAAGCGUCGGUAAGGUGAUAUGAACCGUUAUAACCGGCGAUUUCCGAAUGGGGAAACCCAGUGUGUUUCGACACACUAUCAUUAACUGAAUCCAUAGGUUAAUGAGGCGAACCGGGGGAACUGAAACAUCUAAGUACCCCGAGGAAAAGAAAUCAACCGAGAUUCCCCCAGUAGCGGCGAGCGAACGGGGAGCAGCCCAGAGCCUGAAUCAGUGUGUGUGUUAGUGGAAGCGUCUGGAAAGGCGCGCGAUACAGGGUGACAGCCCCGUACACAAAAAUGCACAUGCUGUGAGCUCGAUGAGUAGGGCGGGACACGUGGUAUCCUGUCUGAAUAUGGGGGGACCAUCCUCCAAGGCUAAAUACUCCUGACUGACCGAUAGUGAACCAGUACCGUGAGGGAAAGGCGAAAAGAACCCCGGCGAGGGGAGUGAAAAAGAACCUGAAACCGUGUACGUACAAGCAGUGGGAGCACGCUUAGGCGUGUGACUGCGUACCUUUUGUAUAAUGGGUCAGCGACUUAUAUUCUGUAGCAAGGUUAACCGAAUAGGGGAGCCGAAGGGAAACCGAGUCUUAACUGGGCGUUAAGUUGCAGGGUAUAGACCCGAAACCCGGUGAUCUAGCCAUGGGCAGGUUGAAGGUUGGGUAACACUAACUGGAGGACCGAACCGACUAAUGUUGAAAAAUUAGCGGAUGACUUGUGGCUGGGGGUGAAAGGCCAAUCAAACCGGGAGAUAGCUGGUUCUCCCCGAAAGCUAUUUAGGUAGCGCCUCGUGAAUUCAUCUCCGGGGGUAGAGCACUGUUUCGGCAAGGGGGUCAUCCCGACUUACCAACCCGAUGCAAACUGCGAAUACCGGAGAAUGUUAUCACGGGAGACACACGGCGGGUGCUAACGUCCGUCGUGAAGAGGGAAACAACCCAGACCGCCAGCUAAGGUCCCAAAGUCAUGGUUAAGUGGGAAACGAUGUGGGAAGGCCCAGACAGCCAGGAUGUUGGCUUAGAAGCAGCCAUCAUUUAAAGAAAGCGUAAUAGCUCACUGGUCGAGUCGGCCUGCGCGGAAGAUGUAACGGGGCUAAACCAUGCACCGAAGCUGCGGCAGCGACGCUUAUGCGUUGUUGGGUAGGGGAGCGUUCUGUAAGCCUGCGAAGGUGUGCUGUGAGGCAUGCUGGAGGUAUCAGAAGUGCGAAUGCUGACAUAAGUAACGAUAAAGCGGGUGAAAAGCCCGCUCGCCGGAAGACCAAGGGUUCCUGUCCAACGUUAAUCGGGGCAGGGUGAGUCGACCCCUAAGGCGAGGCCGAAAGGCGUAGUCGAUGGGAAACAGGUUAAUAUUCCUGUACUUGGUGUUACUGCGAAGGGGGGACGGAGAAGGCUAUGUUGGCCGGGCGACGGUUGUCCCGGUUUAAGCGUGUAGGCUGGUUUUCCAGGCAAAUCCGGAAAAUCAAGGCUGAGGCGUGAUGACGAGGCACUACGGUGCUGAAGCAACAAAUGCCCUGCUUCCAGGAAAAGCCUCUAAGCAUCAGGUAACAUCAAAUCGUACCCCAAACCGACACAGGUGGUCAGGUAGAGAAUACCAAGGCGCUUGAGAGAACUCGGGUGAAGGAACUAGGCAAAAUGGUGCCGUAACUUCGGGAGAAGGCACGCUGAUAUGUAGGUGAGGUCCCUCGCGGAUGGAGCUGAAAUCAGUCGAAGAUACCAGCUGGCUGCAACUGUUUAUUAAAAACACAGCACUGUGCAAACACGAAAGUGGACGUAUACGGUGUGACGCCUGCCCGGUGCCGGAAGGUUAAUUGAUGGGGUUAGCGCAAGCGAAGCUCUUGAUCGAAGCCCCGGUAAACGGCGGCCGUAACUAUAACGGUCCUAAGGUAGCGAAAUUCCUUGUCGGGUAAGUUCCGACCUGCACGAAUGGCGUAAUGAUGGCCAGGCUGUCUCCACCCGAGACUCAGUGAAAUUGAACUCGCUGUGAAGAUGCAGUGUACCCGCGGCAAGACGGAAAGACCCCGUGAACCUUUACUAUAGCUUGACACUGAACAUUGAGCCUUGAUGUGUAGGAUAGGUGGGAGGCUUUGAAGUGUGGACGCCAGUCUGCAUGGAGCCGACCUUGAAAUACCACCCUUUAAUGUUUGAUGUUCUAACGUUGACCCGUAAUCCGGGUUGCGGACAGUGUCUGGUGGGUAGUUUGACUGGGGCGGUCUCCUCCUAAAGAGUAACGGAGGAGCACGAAGGUUGGCUAAUCCUGGUCGGACAUCAGGAGGUUAGUGCAAUGGCAUAAGCCAGCUUGACUGCGAGCGUGACGGCGCGAGCAGGUGCGAAAGCAGGUCAUAGUGAUCCGGUGGUUCUGAAUGGAAGGGCCAUCGCUCAACGGAUAAAAGGUACUCCGGGGAUAACAGGCUGAUACCGCCCAAGAGUUCAUAUCGACGGCGGUGUUUGGCACCUCGAUGUCGGCUCAUCACAUCCUGGGGCUGAAGUAGGUCCCAAGGGUAUGGCUGUUCGCCAUUUAAAGUGGUACGCGAGCUGGGUUUAGAACGUCGUGAGACAGUUCGGUCCCUAUCUGCCGUGGGCGCUGGAGAACUGAGGGGGGCUGCUCCUAGUACGAGAGGACCGGAGUGGACGCAUCACUGGUGUUCGGGUUGUCAUGCCAAUGGCACUGCCCGGUAGCUAAAUGCGGAAGAGAUAAGUGCUGAAAGCAUCUAAGCACGAAACUUGCCCCGAGAUGAGUUCUCCCUGACCCUUUAAGGGUCCUGAAGGAACGUUGAAGACGACGACGUUGAUAGGCCGGGUGUGUAAGCGCAGCGAUGCGUUGAGCUAACCGGUACUAAUGAACCGUGAGGCUUAACCUU